CGCGUAGGCGGGCCGCCAAGUCAGGGGUGAAAUCGUUCGGCUUAACCGGACAAGUGCCUCUGAUACUGGCGGCCUCGAGGGGGGUAGGGGCCUGCGGAACUUCCGGUGGAGCGGUGAAAUGCGUAGAUAUCGGAAGGAACGCCGGUGGCGAAAGCGGCGGGCUGGACCCCUUCUGACGCUGAGGCGCGAAAGCCAGGGGAGCGAACG
RNAcentral lists this ribosomal RNA (207 nucleotides) under uncultured bacterium. RNAcentral's name for it is "partial 16S ribosomal RNA". It matches the Rfam family "Bacterial small subunit ribosomal RNA", at positions 568 to 774 of the family's 1533-position model. The record is from RNAcentral.